GCCUUAUAGCGGCGAGUGAGCGGCAUAGCUCAAUUUGAAUCUGGCACCUUCGCGUGUCCGAGUUGUAAUUUGAAGAAGGUAUCUUUGGUUUUGGCUCUUGUCUAUGUUCCUUGGAACAGGACGUCACAGAGGGUGAGAAUCCCGUGCGAUGAGAUGCCCAAUUCCAUGUAAAGUUCCUUCGACGAGUCGAGUUGUUUGGGAAUGCAGCUCUAAGUGGGUGGUAAAUUCCAUCUAAAGCUAAAUAUUGGCGAGAGACCGAUAGCGAACAAGUACUGUGAAGGAAAGAUGAAAAGAACUUUGAAAAGAGAGUGAAAAAGUACGUGAAAUUGUUGAAAGGGAAGGGCUUGAGGUCAGACUUGGUUUUACCAGGCCAGCAUCAGUUUGGAUGGCAGGAUAAUAGCUUAGGAAUGUGGCACUGCUUCGGUAGUGUGUUAUAGCCUGGGU
RNAcentral lists this ribosomal RNA (444 nucleotides) under Yamadazyma mexicana. RNAcentral's name for it is "eukaryotic LSU rRNA". It matches the Rfam family "Eukaryotic large subunit ribosomal RNA", at positions 78 to 531 of the family's 3401-position model. The record is from RNAcentral. Lineage: Eukaryota; Fungi; Ascomycota; Pichiomycetes; Serinales; Debaryomycetaceae.